AGUUGAUCAACGUUAUACCUGUACCCAUCUUGAUGGCGAAAAUAAUCAUCAGUGCUGAACACAAUGCCAUCACGACUCUGACCAAGCAGAAUCCUGUUGUUAAAAGAAGUCAGAAAGGUCACUGCUCAACUUUGUUCAUGGUGGUCAGAUGGAUUCAACCUGGCACUUUGGACCCCUCAAGCUUGAAAAUCUUUUUGCAUUUUUUGUUUCUCACAAUAAUUCCAAAAAAUGUAAGUGGAAAAGAGUGACUUCCAAAUCAUCAUCAUCUUCUGCUUUCUUGGAAAGAAGCAUCUUUUUUAACCAGAGCACUGCUCAUCUUGUAGCAGAAUCCAAAAGGGAAGACCAGCACAGAAAACAACAUAGCAGUUGUUUCCAUCACCAGCGUAAUUGCACAUGGUCUAUUUUUAAAGCCCUAAACAGAACCUUUGUGAUAAAUAUAUAUGCCAAUUCUCCCUUCUGUCAGAAAACACCUUUACAUAGUAACACUACCAGAUGCCAUUUUCAAGUAUAACAAAUUAAAAAUCUACGAAAAACAUGAAAGCAUGUA
Long non-coding RNA from Erinaceus europaeus (western European hedgehog), 547 nucleotides. RefSeq lists it as uncharacterized. NCBI's taxonomy places the organism in Eukaryota, Metazoa, Chordata, Mammalia, Eulipotyphla, Erinaceidae. The record is from RefSeq and is a predicted model, not a curated record. The transcript has 2 exons.